GACGAACGCUGGCGGCGUGCUUAACACAUGCAAGUCGAACGGUAAGGCCCUUCGGGGUACACGAGUGGCGAACGGGUGAGUAACACGUGGGUGAUCUGCCCUGCACUUCGGGAUAAGCCUGGGAAACUGGGUCUAAUACCGGAUAGGACCACUGCCUGCAUGGGUGGUGGUGGAAAGCUUUUGCGGUGUGGGAUGGGCCCGCGGCCUAUCAGCUUGUUGGUUGGGUGAUGGCCUACCAAGGCGACGACGGGUAGCCGGCCUGAGAGGGUGACCGGCCACACUGGGACUGAGAUACGGCCCAGACUCCUACGGGAGGCAGCAGUGGGGAAUAUUGCACAAUGGGCGCAAGCCUGAUGCAGCGACGCCGCGUGAGGGAUGACGGCCUUCGGGUUGUAAACCUCUUUCAGCACCGACGAAGCGCAAGUGACGGUAGGUGCAGAAGAAGGACCGGCCAACUACGUGCCAGCCGCCGCCGUAC
RNAcentral lists this ribosomal RNA (478 nucleotides) under uncultured bacterium. Its description in RNAcentral is "partial 16S ribosomal RNA". It matches the Rfam family "Bacterial small subunit ribosomal RNA", at positions 28 to 523 of the family's 1533-position model. The record is from RNAcentral.